AAUGCCUAGGAAUCUGCCUGGUAGUGGGGGAUAACGUUCGGAAACGGACGCUAAUACCGCAUACGUCCUACGGGAGAAAGCAGGGGACCUUCGGGCCUUGCGCUAUCAGAUGGGCCUAGGUCGGAUUAGCUAGUUGGUGAGGUUAUGGCUCACCAAGGCGACGAUCCGUAACUGGUCUGAGAGGAUGAUCAGUCACACUGGAACUGAGACACGGUCCAGACUCCUACGGGAGGCAGCAGUGGGGAAUAUUGGACAAUGGGCGAAAGCCUGAUCCAGCCAUGCCGCGUGUGUGAAGAAGGUCUUCGGAUUGUAAAGCACUUUAAGUUGGGAGGAAGGGUUGUAGAUUAAUACUCUGCAAUUUUGACGUUACCGACAGAAUAAGCACCGGCUAACUCUGUGCCAGCAGCCGCGGUAAUACAGAGGGUGCAAGCGUUAAUCGGAAUUACUGGGCGUAAAGCGCGCGUAGGUGGUUUGUUAAGUUGGAUGUGAAAUCCCCGGGCUCAACCUGGGAACUGCAUUCAAAACUGACUGACUAGAGUAUGGUAGAGGGUGGUGGAAUUUCCUGUGUAGCGGUGAAAUGCGUAGAUAUAGGAAGG
RNAcentral lists this ribosomal RNA (596 nucleotides) under uncultured bacterium. RNAcentral describes it as "bacterial SSU rRNA". It matches the Rfam family "Bacterial small subunit ribosomal RNA", at positions 112 to 704 of the family's 1533-position model. The record is from RNAcentral.